UGAGAUUAAAGCUGAAAUCCUAAGCAUCCAACAUAUAUCAGGAACCCAGUGCAAGUUUAAUGAAUGCAUACAGAAUACCGAGAAACCUGAAGUUAUCCUGAGAACAAACGUCACUGCCAUGGAAACAGCUCCUCCACGUUCCCGAUGGUGCACUGGUUUUCUUUCCUGUCUGACCAACAAGCCUCUGGAGAGUGGCCACCAUCUUACAGGCUCACUUUGUAUUCUGUAAACUUUCAGUUGGAAAAUAAACACACUGUCUCCCUGUCAAAG
This 270-nucleotide long non-coding RNA is filed under the name Homo sapiens (human). Its description in RNAcentral is "HSALNT0276252". The record is from RNAcentral. Lineage: Eukaryota; Metazoa; Chordata; Mammalia; Primates; Hominidae.